This 76-nucleotide transfer RNA is filed under the name Pseudomonadota bacterium. RNAcentral's name for it is "Proteobacteria bacterium (freshwater metagenome) tRNA-Ala". It matches the Rfam family "tRNA". From Rfam's summary of the family: Transfer RNA (tRNA) molecules are approximately 80 nucleotides in length. Lineage: Bacteria; Pseudomonadati; Pseudomonadota. The record is from RNAcentral.
GGGCCUGUAGCUCAGUUGGUAGAGCGCGUGCUUUGCAAGCACGAUGUCGCCGGUUCGACUCCGACCAGGUCCACCA